UCACACAAUCUCCAUCUUCCCACCACACAGGAAACCAGUUAUGGAAUGAAGUUGGGAUUCAGAUGAAGGUUAAUCUGAAGUUUUACGAGUGUGGCAAUCAACAUAUUACAGGUUGUUCUUGAACUAAAAUGUAUGGUAUUCCAAGCUGGGCCAUCAUUGGUGACAUGGGUUAUGCUUUGAGUAGGCUGGAGAUUGGUUCUGACUGUGAUGGUGACAUGAGUAUCAAUGCAACGGGUGAAGGUCAAGUGUCCAAUAAGCCUUUGAAUAAUUUAGAUGAUGAAAUUGCACAGCUCACUAGAAUGAAAUCAGGACCUAGUACACAUUUAAGUCGAGUACUGCCUGGGAAGCGGGAGGUUUCUGUUUCCCCUGUAAAAAUGUUGGCAGGUAGGGAAUGUAACUACUCAGGAAAGGGAAGGUUCUCAGCUGGAGAUUGCUGUCACGUUUUAAGCAGAUAUUUGCCUGUUAAUGGUCCAUGGCUUGUGGACCAAAUGACUAGCCGAGCUUAUGUCUCACAGUUUUCAUCAGAUGGUUCCCUAUUCG
This 540-nucleotide unclassified non-coding RNA is filed under the name Hevea brasiliensis (rubber tree). Lineage: Eukaryota; Viridiplantae; Streptophyta; Magnoliopsida; Malpighiales; Euphorbiaceae. The record is from RNAcentral.